GAUGAACGCUGGCGGCGUGCCUAAUACAUGCAAGUCGAGCGAACAGAUGAGGAGCUUGCUCCUCUGACGUUAGCGGCGGACGGGUGAGUAACACGUGGAUAACCUACCUAUAAGACUGGGAUAACUUCGGGAAACCGGAGCUAAUACCGGAUAAUAUAUUGAACCGCAUGGUUCAAUAGUGAAAGACGGUUUUGCUGUCACUUAUAGAUGGAUCUGCGCCGCAUUAGCUAGUUGGUAAGGUAACGGCUUACCAAGGCAACGAUGCGUAGCCGACCUGAGAGGGUGAUCGGCCACAAUGGAACUGAGACGCGGUCCAGACUCCUACGGGAGGCAGCAGUAGGGAAUCUUCCGCAAUGGGCGAAAGCCUGACGGAGCAACGCCGCGUGAGUGAUGAAGGUCUUCGGAUCGUAAAACUCUGUUAUUAGGGAAGAACAAAUGUGUAAGUAACUAUGCACGUCUUGACGGUACCUAAUCAGAAAGCCACGGCUAACUACGUG
Molecule: ribosomal RNA, 497 nt
Filed under: uncultured bacterium
Lineage: Bacteria
Description: partial 16S ribosomal RNA
Rfam family: Bacterial small subunit ribosomal RNA
Source: RNAcentral